CUGCUUCCCCCAUGCUGUUGUCCUUUUUCUACAACAGGGAACACUGUAAUCAGCACCGCGAGACAGGGAACAGCGCCCCUGACUGGCAACCUGGUUUCAUAGACAACACAUUAUACAUGAAUCCGGGACACUACAUUUAAGAUGAUGACCACUAGUGGCAGUGAUUGUCCAAACAAGCCGAAGCAGACUGGCAGGCGCCUGUGCCGUGACGUCACCCAUUCAUGCAGUUCCUGACGGCUGUCAGCCUGGCGCCGAGCGGGCGGUGUCCAUGGAGACCGCAAACAACGGGCUCCUGCUCCCCCAUUCACCUGCGCAGCGCAAACCCUGAGAACAAACUGGCUGCCCAAGAUCGUCAUUCAUUUAUCACGUUAAACCACUCUCUGAAGAGAUUACCGCCCCGCACACCUGCAAACUGCCAUUGUCACAAGCUUGCUCACUCAAGUUCCAAAGGCUACUGAAAGAAAAAAAGACAAGAGGGUUUUGAAUUUGCAGUGAUAGUUCCUAAAUUCCUUCAGUUAGCCCCCCCCCCUCUUCUUUUUUCUAAGAAAAUUCCUCAGCUCAAGUACAAGAUUGUAUCCAUCUUUUACACAGAUAUAAAAUAAAUUACAAUGCUGCAAUUUCAAUGCCCAUUGCUGGCUGUUGUCCUCUAGAAUUAGAUGUAUGAUUAAUUUACGGUUAUUCAUUUUGCUUUUUAUAUGUUUAAAUUGAAACUAAACUUUUUAGGUUUG
This is a long non-coding RNA of Esox lucius (northern pike), 728 nucleotides long. RefSeq lists it as uncharacterized. The record is from RefSeq and is a predicted model, not a curated record. The transcript has 3 exons. NCBI's taxonomy places the organism in Eukaryota, Metazoa, Chordata, Actinopteri, Esociformes, Esocidae.